ACGUAUCCAACCUUCCGGUAACUCCGGUAUAGCCUUUCAAAAGAAAGAUUAAUCCCGGAUAGUAUGGUGAUUCCGCAUGGUUUUUCCAUUAAAGGAUUCCGGUUACCGAUGGGGAUGCGUUCCAUUAGGCAGUUGGCGGGGUAACGGCCCACCAAACCUACGAUGGAUAGGGGUUCUGAGAGGAAGGUCCCCCACAUUGGAACUGAUACACGGUCCAAACUCCUACGGGAGGCAGCAGUGAGGAAUAUUGGUCAAUGGGCGGAAGCCUGAACCAGCCAAGUAGUGUGAAGGAUGACUGCCCUAUGGGUUGUAAACUUCUUUUAUAAGGGAAUAAUUGCGGGUACGCGUACCCGUUUGCAUGAACCUUAUGAAU
RNAcentral lists this ribosomal RNA (373 nucleotides) under uncultured bacterium. Its description in RNAcentral is "bacterial SSU rRNA". It matches the Rfam family "Bacterial small subunit ribosomal RNA", at positions 115 to 487 of the family's 1533-position model. The record is from RNAcentral.